This 447-nucleotide ribosomal RNA is filed under the name uncultured bacterium. Its description in RNAcentral is "SSU rRNA". It matches the Rfam family "Bacterial small subunit ribosomal RNA", at positions 26 to 518 of the family's 1533-position model. The record is from RNAcentral.
AGAGCGAACGCUGGCGGCAGGCUUAACACAUGCAAGUCGAGCGGGCGUAGCAAUACGUCAGCGGCAGACGGGUGAGUAACGCGUGGGAACAUACCUUUUGGUUCGGAACAACACAGGGAAACUUGUGCUAAUACCGGAUAAGCCCUUACGGGGAAAGAUUUAUCGCCGAAAGGUUGGCCCGCGUCUGAUUAGCUAGUUGGUGAGGUAACGGCUCACCAAGGCGACGAUCAGUAGCUGGUCUGAGAGGAUGAUCAGCCACAUUGGGACUGAGACACGGCCCAAACUCCUACGGGAGGCAGCAGUGGGGAAUAUUGGACAAUGGGCGCAAGCCUGAUCCAGCCAUGCCGCGUGAGUGAUGAAGGCCCUAGGGUUGUAAAGCUCUUUUGUGCGGGAAGAUAAUGACGGUACCGCAAGAAUAAGCCCGGCUAACUUCGUGCCAGCAGCCGC